This 256-nucleotide ribosomal RNA is filed under the name uncultured bacterium. RNAcentral describes it as "partial 16S ribosomal RNA". It matches the Rfam family "Bacterial small subunit ribosomal RNA", at positions 793 to 1055 of the family's 1533-position model. The record is from RNAcentral.
GUCCACGCCGUAAACGAUGGAUACUAGCUGUUCGGAGCAAUCUGAGUGGCUAAGCGAAAGUGAUAAGUAUCCCACCUGGGGAGUACGUUCGCAAGAAUGAAACUCAAAGGAAUUGACGGGGGCCCGCACAAGCGGUGGAGCAUGUGGUUUAAUUCGAAGCAACGCGAAGAACCUUACCAAGGCUUAAAUGUAGAUUGACCGUUUUUGGAAACAGAACUUUCGCAAGACAAUUUACAAGGUGCUGCAUGGUUGUCGU